RNAcentral lists this ribosomal RNA (526 nucleotides) under uncultured bacterium. RNAcentral describes it as "bacterial SSU rRNA". It matches the Rfam family "Bacterial small subunit ribosomal RNA", at positions 772 to 1297 of the family's 1533-position model. The record is from RNAcentral.
ACUCAAUAGAUACCCGGGUAGUCCAUGCCGUAAACGUUGGGAACUAGGUGUGGGUCUCAUUCCACGAGAUCCGUGCCGCAGCUAACGCAUUAAGUUCCCCGCCUGGGGAGUACGGCCGCAAGGCUAAAACUCAAAGGAAUUGACGGGGGCCCGCACAAGCGGCGGAGCAUGCGGAUUAAUUCGAUGCAACGCGAAGAACCUUACCAAGGCUUGACAUAUGCGAGAACGCGGCAGAGAUGUCGUUCUCUUUGGACACUCGCAUACAGGUGGUGCAUGGUUGUCGUCAGCUCGUGUCGUGAGAUGUUGGGUUAAGUCCCGCAACGAGCGCAACCCUCGUUCUAUGUUGCCAGCACGUGAUGGUGGGGACUCAUAGGAGACUGCCGGGGUCAACUCGGAGGAAGGUGGGGAUGACGUCAAAUCAUCAUGCCCCUUAUGUCUUGGGCUUCACGCAUGCUACAAUGGCCGGUACAAAGGGCUGCGAUACCGCGAGGUGGAGCGAAUCCCAAAAAACCGGUCUCAGUUCGGA